Long non-coding RNA from Aethalodelphis obliquidens (Pacific white-sided dolphin), 1368 nucleotides. RefSeq lists it as uncharacterized. NCBI's taxonomy places the organism in Eukaryota, Metazoa, Chordata, Mammalia, Artiodactyla, Delphinidae. The transcript has 8 exons. The record is from RefSeq and is a predicted model, not a curated record.
AAAAAAAAGCUGCCUCCGAAUGCUUCCGUGUAUUUGCCAAGACUCUGGAACUAUUAUCCUGAGGUGAGAGAAGAGACUGAGCCCAAGAAGGAAGCUGAGAAAGUGAAAUUUUUAUCCUGUGCAGCGGUCUGACAACGCCAGGCUGGUGGUGCAGACUGACAACGCCAAGUUGGCCUCAGAUGACUUUAGGACCAAGUGAAUGGGUAUGAGACAGAGGUGUCCUUGAGGCAGCUGGUGGAGGCAGAUCUGAAGAGUCUGAGCAGGAUCCUGGAUGAGCUGACCCUGUGCAAGUCUGACCUGGAGGCCCAGGUGGAGUCCCUGAAGGAGGAGCUGAUCUGCCUCAAGUAGAACCAUGAGCAGGUGAAGUUCUCCAACAGGAUCAAACUCGCCAAAGCCUGUUUCCAGGAAGCCAACUCCCUGCGGAGACAGCUUGGAGACCGCCUCAACAAGGAGGGCUGACAUGAGAGGAGGAACCAUAGGGACUGGAAUGUGAUGGAGAGUCUUGGGGCACCUGCAUGAGCUCCCUCUUGAGGUUAGUUUUAUGUGGGUGGCUCUGAGAAGGAGUCACUCACAGGAUGGAUUAUCAAGAGGCUCAAGGGAGGGCCUUGAGCAGAAGCAAGUUGGAAACACCCAGGACCUACGCUCGGAUGUCCUCAUCCGUGACCACAUCUGGGCUUGUUCUAUGUGCCAGACAGGGAUACAUAAGUAUCACUAUUUCCAUUAAAAUAAAGCUUCAUUGAUGGAUAAUCGACAUACAAUAAACUGCACAUAUUUAAAGCACGCAGUUUGAAUGCCAGAUAACACCUUGGAGAUGGUGGAGAGAUUCUGGAGUUUGGAGAUGGAUAAAGUGGGGAAGAAGCUUCUUCCAGGCCAGCACCAGGGGUGCCUCAAUGGAGAAGACAGGCAAGAUCGGGCUCACCCAGAGCUCACAGAGCAGUGGAAGAGACAGGCAGUAAAUAGGAGGGACUGAGUAAACCAAUACAGCAGGAAGAGGAUUUUAAACAGUGGUAAGCACUGAGAAGAAAGGAAAGUAUGGUGGUUGAUAGGGGUCUGGGCAAUAGUCUUUACCAUGGUCAGGUCUGGUCUUUCCAGGAGGUGGCAUUUGAUCUGAGACUGGAAAAUGAGAAGAAACAGACCAGAGGGAAGGAGCAUUCCAGACAGAGGAACAGCACAUCAAGGGAGGGAACGAGCUUGGUGUCUUUGAAGGAGGAAGGAAGGCCAGUGAUGGAGUGACAAGCCAGGGAGGAGUCAUAGGACCCGGGGCUGGCAGUGGUCUCCCUGCUCUGGGGAGCAUCUGAUUGUAUUUUUUUUUUUUUUUUUUGGCGGUACGCGGACCUCUCACUGCUGUGGCCUCUCCCGUUGCGGAGC